AAAAAUUGAGUACACUUGAUUCGUAUUAUAACUCUUCGACACAAAUUAAACUAUGUGUUGAUAAUAAAUUUUAAAUAGAAAAUAAAAAAUAAAAAAUGAGUGGUUUAAAAAUUAAUAUAAAAUAAAAUAUAAUAGAAUACAUAACAAAAUUAGAAGAAAAAAACUAGCAUAAAUAAACAUAAAAAUAAAAAAUUCUAAAAGA
Molecule: long non-coding RNA, 202 nt
Filed under: Lathyrus oleraceus (garden pea)
Lineage: Eukaryota; Viridiplantae; Streptophyta; Magnoliopsida; Fabales; Fabaceae
Description: Pisum sativum (pea) long non-coding RNA (PSAT_LNC000307)
Source: RNAcentral